AUAUGUUCAAAACCUUCUUCCAAGAUCCCAUGUGACCAGCGUUUUUGCUUUCUUUUUAAGCUUUGAUGUGGAAAAUGGCCCUUCCCCAGGUCGGAGCCCACUGGAUCCCCAGGCCAGCUCUUCCUCUGGGCUGGUGCUUCACGCUACCUUUCCCGGGCACAGCCAGCGCAGAGAGUCCUUUCUCUACAGAUCAGACAGCGACUAUGACUUAUCACCAAAGGCAAUGUCAAGAAACUCUUCACUUCCAAGCGAGCAACACGGCGAUGACUUGAUUGUAACACCUUUUGCCCAGGUAUGUAUUGUGCUGACCCUGGUGUGCUCUCAUUGUCUCUGUUGUAGUUUUUAAAGCAUGGCCUCUAAACCUGACCAUUUCUCUGCUUUCAUUCCUAACCAUUUAAAACAUUUCCUUAUAGGUCCUUGCCAGCUUGAGAAGUGUGAGAAACAACUUCACUAUACUAACAAACCUUCAUGGAACAUCCAACAAGAGGUCCCCAGCUGCUGGUCAGCCUCCUGUCUCCAGAGCCAACCUGCCAGGUAGGCCACAUCUUGCCGUCUGUCUCUAUGUCGCAAAAUGAUAAAUGUGCCUCUUACUCUGAACUCUUUUUGAAUCAUAGCAUUCCCCUAUAUAUCUUGACCCUCAAAAGCAUAUCUUCUGGUGACGCUUUUCAAAGACAUAUAGAAGGCUUAUUUCAUUCCAUGUGAAACUAAAUUAAAAGCAG
RNAcentral lists this long non-coding RNA (719 nucleotides) under Dasypus novemcinctus (nine-banded armadillo). RNAcentral's name for it is "lncRNA (ENSDNOG00000050108.1)". Lineage: Eukaryota; Metazoa; Chordata; Mammalia; Cingulata; Dasypodidae. The record is from RNAcentral.